GCCAGGCGUGGUGAUGCCUGCCUGUAAUCCUUGCUUCUGGGGACACUGAGGCUGAUGGAUCACUUGAGCUUGGGAAUUCUGAGCUGCAGUGGGCUAAAGCUGAAUAGGUAUCCACACUAAGUCUCACACAAGUAUGGUGUCGGAGCCACAAGGCCACCUAAGGAGGGGCAUUAAAUUGGCCCAGGCUAGAAACAAAACAAGUCAAAACUUUUGUGCUAAUUGGUAAUGGGAUUGGAUUUGUGAGUGGUCAUUGUGCUUCUAGCUUAGCCAAGAAAGGGAAGGA
This 283-nucleotide signal recognition particle RNA is filed under the name Phascolarctos cinereus (koala). RNAcentral describes it as "Metazoan signal recognition particle RNA (ENSPCIG00000017794.2)". It matches the Rfam family "Metazoan signal recognition particle RNA". Rfam says of the family: The signal recognition particle (SRP) is a universally conserved ribonucleoprotein. It is involved in the co-translational targeting of proteins to membranes. The eukaryotic SRP consists of a 300-nucleotide 7S RNA and six proteins: SRPs 72, 68, 54, 19, 14, and 9. Lineage: Eukaryota; Metazoa; Chordata; Mammalia; Diprotodontia; Phascolarctidae. The record is from RNAcentral.